GCGCCCGUAGCUCAAUUGGAUAGAGCAUCCGUCUUCGGAACGGAGGGUUGGGGGUUCGAGUCCCUUCGGGCGCA
This 74-nucleotide transfer RNA is filed under the name Patescibacteria group bacterium. RNAcentral describes it as "tRNA-Arg". It matches the Rfam family "tRNA". From Rfam's summary of the family: Transfer RNA (tRNA) molecules are approximately 80 nucleotides in length. Their secondary structure includes four short double-helical elements and three loops (D, anti-codon, and T loops). Further hydrogen bonds mediate the characteristic L-shaped molecular structure. tRNAs have two regions of fundamental functional importance: the anti-codon, which is responsible for specific mRNA codon recognition, and the 3' end, to which the tRNAs corresponding amino acid is attached (by aminoacyl-tRNA synthetases). tRNAs cope with the degeneracy of the genetic code in two manners: having more than one tRNA (with a specific anti-codon) for a particular amino acid; and 'wobble' base-pairing, i.e. permitting non-standard base-pairing at the 3rd anti-codon position. The record is from RNAcentral.